GGUGACCACAGUGACAGUGGCCAACGUGGGGGCUGCUGCAGACAAUGUCUUCACCACGUCUGUGGCGAACGCGGCAUCCAUCUCAGGACAUGUUCUGGCCAGGAAGACCAGAGACUGGUGUGUUCCUGUUUGGAAACUGACAACAAAGCGGGGCACGGUCUGAAAUAACUGUGUGUUCCCUUCCUAAGAAAAAUACUCUGUGACUCUUAAACAAACACAAGACAUUCCUUUUCUCCAGUGAAGAGCUG
Molecule: non-coding RNA, 248 nt
Filed under: Pan troglodytes (chimpanzee)
Lineage: Eukaryota; Metazoa; Chordata; Mammalia; Primates; Hominidae
Also listed under: 1 other name
Source: RNAcentral